Molecule: unclassified non-coding RNA, 3450 nt
Filed under: Hevea brasiliensis (rubber tree)
Lineage: Eukaryota; Viridiplantae; Streptophyta; Magnoliopsida; Malpighiales; Euphorbiaceae
Source: RNAcentral
UUUCUCUUCAAAAAAAAUAAUAAUAUUAAUUACAAUCUCACAAAUGACAUUUGCAGUAAAAAACACAGUUUUUCCAAUGAUUUUACUUAAACUAGCAGAAUGGUUUGUCUACAAACUCCUUGCAAAUUCAUGUUAUAAAGCAGCAAUGGAAGUUAAAAAUUCGCGAAUUUUUUUCAAGAAUUCUUCUUCUUUCCGAUCAUCUCAUCAAAUUCCGAUUCAUCCCAAUAUUUCAAAAUGUAAAAAUUCAAGAAAAUCUGAAACAGUUGUAUGUGAUAUUCAAUCUACAUUACUUAGAUCUGAAUCAUUUUUUCCGUAUUUCAUGUUAAUUGCUUUCGAAGGUGGUGGUAUAUUAAGAGCUCUGUUUCUACUUCUAUCGAGUCCCCUGUUAUUCGUUCUUGAUUUCGAAGCUAAACUGAGAGUUAUGGUGUUCAUAUCUUUCUGUGGGAUGAAAAUUAAGGAUGUUGAAUGUGUUGGUAGAGCUGUCUUGCCUAAAUUUUAUCUUGAAAAUUUGAAUGUUCGUGUUUACGAGUUGAUGAAAUCUGCAGGGGAAAGAAUGGUUUUUACGAGUGUUCCUAGAGUUAUGGUGGAAGGUUUUCUGAAGGAUUAUUUGAGUGUUGAUUGUGUUAAAGGAACUGAGUUGCAUUGUUUUGGGAAUUAUUUUAGUGGAUUUGUUUCAUCUUCUGGGAUUUUGAGUAAGCAUAGAGCUUUAAUGGAAGUUGUUGGUGAGAAAAAACCAGAUAUUGGUAUUGGAAAUUCAAGUUUUCAUGAUCAUUUGUUUAUCUCACUUUGCAAGGAAGCUUAUGUGGUGAGCAAAGAGGAUGCUACUACUACAAGUUCAAUAUUACCAAGAGAAAAAUACCCAAAGCCAUUAAUUUUUCAUGAUGGAAGGCUAGCAUUUUUACCUACACCUCUUGCAACAUUAGCCAUGUUUAUGUGGCUACCAAUUGGAAUUCCACUAGCUAUUUUUAGAAUCUUAAUUGGCAUAUGUUUGCCAUACAAAGUAGCUGUUUUGUUGGGAAAAUUAAGUGGUAUAAGACUUAGAGUUAAAGGUACUGACCCUCCAAGAUCUGAAAAUGACAAAGGAGUCCUAUAUGUUUGCACUCAUAGAACACUUUUGGACCCUGUCUUUCUUAGCACUUCUUUGGGAAAACCUUUAACAGCAGUGACUUAUAGUUUAAGCAAAAUGUCUGAAAUUCUUGCUCCUAUUAAAACUGUGAGAUUGACAAGAUCAAGACAAAAAGAUGGAGAGGCCAUGCAAAGAUUGCUUAGUGAAGGUGACUUAGUGGUAUGUCCAGAAGGAACAACAUGUAGGGAGCCAUAUCUAUUAAGGUUCAGUUCACUAUUUGCAGAAUUAGCAGAUGAAAUAGUACCAGUGGCUAUGAACACAAAUGUUAGCAUGUUUUAUGGUACAACAGCUAGUGGGCUUAAAUGUUUGGACCCAAUUUUCUUCUUGAUGAAUCCAAGGCCUUGUUACACUGUUGAAAUAUUAGGCAAAUUACCAAAAGAAUUGACGUGUGCUGGUGGAAAAUCAAGUCAUGAAGUGGCUAAUUAUAUACAAAGACAAUUAGGUGCUGCAUUGGGAUUUGAGUGUACUAAUCUUACAAGAAGGGACAAAUAUUUAAUGCUUGCUGGUAAUGAAGGGGUAGUUGAAGAUCAUAAUUCAACAAUAAAUACCUCUAAUUAAUUUAAUUAUUAAGGAGUAUAUAGGGUUAGUGUUUUUUUUUUAAAAAAAAAACACUAACCCUAUAUACUCCUUAAUAAUUAAAUUAAUUAGAGGUAUUUAUUGUUGAAUUAUGAUCUUCAACUACCCCUUCAUUACCAGCAAGCAUUAAAUAUUUGUCCCUUCUUGUAAGAUUAGUACACUCAAAUCCCAAUGCAGCACCUAAUUGUCUUUGUAUAUAAUUAGCCACUUCAUGACUUGAUUUUCCACCAGCACACGUCAAUUCUUUUGGUAAUUUGCCUAAUAUUUCAACAGUGUAACAAGGCCUUGGAUUCAUCAAGAAGAAAAUUGGGUCCAAACAUUUAAGCCCACUAGCUGUUGUACCAUAAAACAUGCUAACAUUUGUGUUCAUAGCCACUGGUACUAUUUCAUCUGCUAAUUCUGCAAAUAGUGAACUGAACCUUAAUAGAUAUGGCUCCCUACAUGUUGUUCCUUCUGGACAUACCACUAAGUCACCUUCACUAAGCAAUCUUUGCAUGGCCUCUCCAUCUUUUUGUCUUGAUCUUGUCAAUCUCACAGUUUUAAUAGGAGCAAGAAUUUCAGACAUUUUGCUUAAACUAUAAGUCACUGCUGUUAAAGGUUUUCCCAAAGAAGUGCUAAGAAAGACAGGGUCCAAAAGUGUUCUAUGAGUGCAAACAUAUAGGACUCCUUUGUCAUUUUCAGAUCUUGGAGGGUCAGUACCUUUAACUCUAAGUCUUAUACCACUUAAUUUUCCCAACAAAACAGCUACUUUGUAUGGCAAACAUAUGCCAAUUAAGAUUCUAAAAAUAGCUAGUGGAAUUCCAAUUGGUAGCCACAUAAACAUGGCUAAUGUUGCAAGAGGUGUAGGUAAAAAUGCUAGCCUUCCAUCAUGAAAAAUUAAUGGCUUUGGGUAUUUUUCUCUUGGUAAUAUUGAACUUGUAGUAGUAGCAUCCUCUUUGCUCACCACAUAAGCUUCCUUGCAAAGUGAGAUAAACAAAUGAUCAUGAAAACUUGAAUUUCCAAUACCAAUAUCUGGUUUUUUCUCACCAACAACUUCCAUUAAAGCUCUAUGCUUACUCAAAAUCCCAGAAGAUGAAACAAAUCCACUAAAAUAAUUCCCAAAACAAUGCAACUCAGUUCCUUUAACACAAUCAACACUCAAAUAAUCCUUCAGAAAACCUUCCACCAUAACUCUAGGAACACUCGUAAAAACCAUUCUUUCCCCUGCAGAUUUCAUCAACUCGUAAACACGAACAUUCAAAUUUUCAAGAUAAAAUUUAGGCAAGACAGCUCUACCAACACAUUCAACAUCCUUAAUUUUCAUCCCACAGAAAGAUAUGAACACCAUAACUCUCAGUUUAGCUUCGAAAUCAAGAACGAAUAACAGGGGACUCGAUAGAAGUAGAAACAGAGCUCUUAAUAUACCACCACCUUCGAAAGCAAUUAACAUGAAAUACGGAAAAAAUGAUUCAGAUCUAAGUAAUGUAGAUUGAAUAUCACAUACAACUGUUUCAGAUUUUCUUGAAUUUUUACAUUUUGAAAUAUUGGGAUGAAUCGGAAUUUGAUGAGAUGAUCGGAAAGAAGAAGAAUUCUUGAAAAAAAUUCGCGAAUUUUUAACUUCCAUUGCUGCUUUAUAACAUGAAUUUGCAAGGAGUUUGUAGACAAACCAUUCUGCUAGUUUAAGUAAAAUCAUUGGAAAAACUGUGUUUUUUACUGCAAAUGUCAUUUGUGAGAUUGUAAUUAAUAUUAUUAUUUUUUUUGAAGAGAAA